This is a long non-coding RNA of Daktulosphaira vitifoliae (grape phylloxera), 565 nucleotides long. RefSeq lists it as uncharacterized. The record is from RefSeq and is a predicted model, not a curated record. Lineage: Eukaryota; Metazoa; Arthropoda; Insecta; Hemiptera; Phylloxeridae. The transcript is spliced from 3 exons.
GUAUUUAAAUUGCUUCUGCUAGUUUGAUUCGGCUGCUAUACUUGGAGUGUGUACACCCUAAGUGGAUUACUACUCUGUACCUGGGACGAACAGUUUUCUUGUCGCAAUUUAUUAUAAAAAUAAACCCAUAGAUAAGAAAAUCUUUUAAAGUUUAUGAACACGAACAUAGUUUCCAUUGGCUGGUCACUGCUGAUGAAAAUUUGAUCAUAGAAUUCUGUAUCUGAUACAAUAAUAAUGUCUCUAGUAAAAACUUCAAAAACACAAAAGUAGCCGGUACCGGUUGGAUUGAUUAAUAUUUUAUAUUUCAAAAUAAAACAGUGGACAAAAGAAUGUCAAUACGAAAAUGUGAAUAUGCGGUUCUAAUUUCUAUUUAUAAAAUUAAUAUAAAUAACUUGAACAAGAAAUUUAAAAUAGUGUGCUAAUGAAUAGUGUACUACUGUUGUUAUUAUUACAGCAACAGAACAUACUUAUUAAAGUAUACAUGUAGUGGUUUUAAUAAUAUUACACAUUGUUAUUACACGUUCUUAUUGAAGUAAUAAAUUAUAAAAAAAUAUUACAAAUAAGA